RNAcentral lists this ribosomal RNA (433 nucleotides) under uncultured bacterium. RNAcentral's name for it is "partial 16S ribosomal RNA". It matches the Rfam family "Bacterial small subunit ribosomal RNA", at positions 29 to 507 of the family's 1533-position model. The record is from RNAcentral.
AGCGAACGCUGGCGGCAGGCCUAACACAUGCAAGUCGAACGGACCCUUCGGGGUUAGUGGCGGACGGGUGAGUAACACGUGGGAACGUGCCUUUAGGUUCGGAAUAGCUCCUGGAAACGGGUGGUAAUGCCGAAUGUGCCCUUCGGGGGAAAGAUUUAUCGCCUUUAGAGCGGCCCGCGUCUGAUUAGCUAGUUGGUGAGGUAACGGCUCACCAAGGCGACGAUCAGUAGCUGGUCUGAGAGGAUGACCAGCCACACUGGGACUGAGACACGGCCCAGACUCCUACGGGAGGCAGCAGUGGGGAAUCUUGCGCAAUGGGCAAAAGCCUGACGCAGCCAUGCCGCGUGAAUGAUGAAGGUCUUAGGAUUGUAAAAUUCUUUCACCGGGGACGAUAAUGACGGUACCCGGAGAAGAAGCCCCGGCUAACUUCGUG